RNAcentral lists this ribosomal RNA (253 nucleotides) under uncultured bacterium. RNAcentral describes it as "partial 16S ribosomal RNA". It matches the Rfam family "Bacterial small subunit ribosomal RNA", at positions 524 to 776 of the family's 1533-position model. The record is from RNAcentral.
UACGUAGGGGGGCAAGCGUUGUCCGGAAUCAUUGGGCGUAAAGAGCGCGUAGGCGGCCCUGUAAGUCCGCUGUGAAAGUCAAGGGCUCAACCCUUGAAUGCCGGUGGAUAUGCAGGGCUAGAGUCCGGAAGAGGCGAGUGGAAUUCCUGGUGUAGCGGUGAAAUGCGCAGAUAUCAGGAGGAACACCGAUGGCGAAGGCAGCUCGCUGGGACGGUACUGACGCUGAGGUGCGAAAGCGUGGGGAGCGAACAGG